This 498-nucleotide ribosomal RNA is filed under the name uncultured bacterium. RNAcentral's name for it is "bacterial SSU rRNA". It matches the Rfam family "Bacterial small subunit ribosomal RNA", at positions 66 to 543 of the family's 1533-position model. The record is from RNAcentral.
ACGCGAAAGCCCCCUUCGGGGGGCAAGUAGAGUGGCGCACGGGUGAGUAACACGUAGGUAAUCUACCUUUGGAUGGGGAAUAACAACCGGAAACGGUUGCUAAUACCGCAUAAUGCAGCGGCACCUAAUGGUGACAGUUGUUAAAGCGGGGGAUCGCAAGACCUCGCGUCUGAAGAGGAGCCUGCGGCAGAUUAGCUAGUUGGUAAGGUAAAGGCUUACCAAGGCGAUGAUCUGUAGCCGGCCUGAGAGGGCGGUCGGCCACACUGACACUGACAUACGGGUCAGACUCCUACGGGAGGCAGCAGUCGGGAAUUUUGGGCAAUGGGCGAAAGCCUGACCCAGCAACGCCGCGUGAAGGAUGAAAUCCCUCGGGAUGUAAACUUCGCAAGAACGGGAAGAAUAAGCCGGUGCCAAUAACACCGGCGAUGACGGUACUGUUUGUAAGCUCCGGCUAACUCCGUGCCAGCAGCCGCGGUAAUACGGGGGGAGCAAGCGUUG